This 440-nucleotide ribosomal RNA is filed under the name uncultured bacterium. RNAcentral describes it as "partial 16S ribosomal RNA". It matches the Rfam family "Bacterial small subunit ribosomal RNA", at positions 338 to 795 of the family's 1533-position model. The record is from RNAcentral.
CCUACGGGCGGCAGCAGUGGGGAAUAUUGCACAAUGGGCGAAACCCUGAUGCAGCGACGCCGCGUGAGCGAUGAAGGCCUUCGGUUUGUAAAGCUCUGUCCGCAGGGAAGAAAAUGACGGUACCUGAGUAAGAAGCCCCGGCUAACUACGUGCCAGCAGCCGCGGUAAUACGUAGGGGGCAAGCGUUAUCCGGAUUUACUGGGUGUAAAGGGGGCGUAGAUGGCUGUGUAAGUCCGGAGGGAAAGGCGGGGGCUCAACCCCCGGACUGCCUUUGAAAUUGGAAAUCUGGAGUGCAGGAGAGGUAAGUGGAAUUCCUAGUGUAGCGGUGAAAUGCGUAGAUAUUAGGAGGAACACCAGUGGCGAAGGCGGCUGUCUGGACUGUAACUGACGCUGAGGCACGAAAGCGUGGGGAGCAAACAGGAUUAGAUACCCGUGUAGUC